CGUGCGAAGGUAGCAUAAUCAUUAGUCUUUUAAUUGAAGGCUUGUAUGAAUGGUUGGACAAAAAGUAAUCUGUCUCAGUUAUAAUAGUUGAACUUAACUUUUAAGUGAAAAGGCUUAAAUACUUUAAGGGGACGAUAAGACCCUAUAAAACUUAACAAUAAUUUGAUUAAAUUAUAAAUUGUUAGUAUAACUUGAUUUUAAUUAAUGUUUGUUGCGUUGGGGCGACGGGAAUAUAAUUAGUAACUGUUCUUAAAUAUUUUAUUAACAAGUAUAAUUGAAGAAUAAUUGAUCCUUUAUUAAAGAUUAAAAGAUUAAGUUACUUUAGGGAUAACAGCGUAAUCUUCUUUGAGAGUCCUCAUCGACAAGAAGGUUUGCGACCUCGAUGUUGAAUUAAGGUAUCCUUAUGUUGCAGCAG
This 415-nucleotide ribosomal RNA is filed under the name Penaeus monodon (black tiger shrimp). RNAcentral's name for it is "16S ribosomal RNA". It matches the Rfam family "Bacterial large subunit ribosomal RNA", at positions 1947 to 2561 of the family's 2925-position model. The record is from RNAcentral. Lineage: Eukaryota; Metazoa; Arthropoda; Malacostraca; Decapoda; Penaeidae.